GACAUGACCUCCAUAACAAUCAGCUUUGGCCCGGACAUCUCCCUCAUCAGCAUGAACUGCGCCACCACCUGCACCAGCUGCAAUUGGUACUUGGACACGGUCAUUAUCAUUGGCAGCUUUCUCUACAACUACAGUCUGUGUAGGCUGAAUGCCAGGAUCUUCCUCCCGGGC
Molecule: ribosomal RNA, 171 nt
Filed under: uncultured eukaryote
Lineage: Eukaryota
Description: partial 18S ribosomal RNA
Source: RNAcentral